GAACUAAGCAUAUCAAUAAGCGGAGGAAAAGAAACCAACAGGGAUUGCCCUAGUAACGGCGAGUGAAGCGGCAACAGCUCAAAUUUGAAAUCUGGCCCCAGGCCCGAGUUGUAAUUUGCAGAGGAUGCUUUUGGCGCGGUGCCUUCCAAGUUCCCUGGAACGGGACGCCACAGAGGGUGAGAGCCCCGUCAGGUUGUGCAACCAAGCCUUUGUAAAGCUCCUUCGACGAGUCGAGUAGUUUGGGAAUGCUGCUCUAAAUGGGAGGUAUAUGUCUUCUAAAGCUAAAUAUAGGCCAGAGACCGAUAGCGCACAAGUAGAGUGAUCGAAAGAUGAAAAGCACUUUGAAAAGAGAGUUAAAAAGCACGUGAAAUUGUUGAAAGGGAAGCGUUCAUGACCAGACUUGGGCCCGGUUGAUCAUCCAGCGUUCUCGCUGGUGCACUCUGCCGGCCCAGGCCAGCAUCAGUUCGCUCCGGGGGACAAAGGUUCAGGGAAUGUGGCUCCCCUCGGGGAGUGUUAUAGCCCAGUUCAAAUGCCCUGGAGCGGUCUGAGGUCCGCGCAUUGCAAGGAUGCUGGCGUAAUGGUCAUCAAUGACCCGUCUUGAAACACGGACCAAGGAGUCGUCUUCGUAUGCGAGUGUUUGGGUGUCAAACCCCGGCGCGUAAUGAAAGUGAACGCAGGUGAGAGCUUCGGCGCAUCAUCGACCGAUCCUGAUGUUCUCGGAUGGAUUUGAGUAAGAGCAUACGGGGCCGGACCCGAAAGAAGGUGAACUAUGCCUGUAUAGGGUGAAGCCAGAGGAAACUCUGGUGGAGGCUCGCAGCGGUUCUGACGUGCAAAUCGAUCGUCAAACAUGGGCAUGGGGGGCGAAAGACUAAUCGAACCUUCUAGUAGCUGGUUUCCGCCGAA
Molecule: ribosomal RNA, 903 nt
Filed under: Valsonectria simpsonii
Lineage: Eukaryota; Fungi; Ascomycota; Sordariomycetes; Hypocreales; Valsonectriaceae
Description: LSU rRNA
Rfam family: Eukaryotic large subunit ribosomal RNA
Source: RNAcentral